This 454-nucleotide ribosomal RNA is filed under the name uncultured Sphingomonas sp. Its description in RNAcentral is "partial 16S ribosomal RNA". Lineage: Bacteria; Pseudomonadati; Pseudomonadota; Alphaproteobacteria; Sphingomonadales; Sphingomonadaceae. The record is from RNAcentral.
CACGGAGUUAGCCGGAGCUUAUUCUCCCGGUACUGUCAUUAUCAUCCCGGGUAAAGAGCUUUACAACCCUAAGGCCUUCAUCACUCACGCGGCAUUGCUGGAUCAGGCUUUCGCCCAUUGUCCAAUAUUCCCACUGCUGCCUCCCGUAGGAGUCUGGGCCGUGUCUCAGUCCCAGUGUGGCUGAUCAUCCUCUCAGACCAGCUAAGGAUCGUCGCCUUGGUGCGCCUUUACCACACCAACUAGCUAAUCCUACGCGGGCUCAUCCUCUGGCGAUAAAUCUUUGGACUUUCGUCAUCAUCCGGUAUUAGCAGUCGUUUCCAACUGUUAUUCCGAACCAAAGGGCAGAUUCCCACGCGUUACGCACCCGUGCGCCACUAGCACCCGAAGGCACUCGUUCGACUUGCAUGUGUUAGGCAUGCCGCCAGCGUCGUUCUUGAGCCAGGAUCAAACUACU